RNAcentral lists this ribosomal RNA (1468 nucleotides) under Escherichia coli. RNAcentral's name for it is "partial 23S ribosomal RNA". It matches the Rfam family "Bacterial large subunit ribosomal RNA", at positions 419 to 1873 of the family's 2925-position model. Lineage: Bacteria; Pseudomonadati; Pseudomonadota; Gammaproteobacteria; Enterobacterales; Enterobacteriaceae. The record is from RNAcentral.
GGGACACGUGGUAUCCUGUCUGAAUAUGGGGGGACCAUCCUCCAAGGCUAAAUACUCCUGACUGACCGAUAGUGAACCAGUACCGUGAGGGAAAGGCGAAAAGAACCCCGGCGAGGGGAGUGAAAAAGAACCUGAAACCGUGUACGUACAAGCAGUGGGAGCACGCUUAGGCGUGUGACUGCGUACCUUUUGUAUAAUGGGUCAGCGACUUAUAUUCUGUAGCAAGGUUAACCGAAUAGGGGAGCCGAAGGGAAACCGAGUCUUAACUGGGCGUUAAGUUGCAGGGUAUAGACCCGAAACCCGGUGAUCUAGCCAUGGGCAGGUUGAAGGUUGGGUAACACUAACUGGAGGACCGAACCGACUAAUGUUGAAAAAUUAGCGGAUGACUUGUGGCUGGGGGUGAAAGGCCAAUCAAACCGGGAGAUAGCUGGUUCUCCCCGAAAGCUAUUUAGGUAGCGCCUCGUGAAUUCAUCUCCGGGGGUAGAGCACUGUUUCGGCAAGGGGGUCAUCCCGACUUACCAACCCGAUGCAAACUGCGAAUACCGGAGAAUGUUAUCACGGGAGACACACGGCGGGUGCUAACGUCCGUCGUGAAGAGGGAAACAACCCAGACCGCCAGCUAAGGUCCCAAAGUCAUGGUUAAGUGGGAAACGAUGUGGGAAGGCCCAGACAGCCAGGAUGUUGGCUUAGAAGCAGCCAUCAUUUAAAGAAAGCGUAAUAGCUCACUGGUCGAGUCGGCCUGCGCGGAAGAUGUAACGGGGCUAAACCAUGCACCGAAGCUGCGGCAGCGACACUGUGUGUUGUUGGGUAGGGGAGCGUUCUGUAAGCCUGUGAAGGUAUACUGUGAGGUAUGCUGGAGGUAUCAGAAGUGCGAAUGCUGACAUAAGUAACGAUAAAGCGGGUGAAAAGCCCGCUCGCCGGAAGACCAAGGGUUCCUGUCCAACGUUAAUCGGGGCAGGGUGAGUCGACCCCUAAGGCGAGGCCGAAAGGCGUAGUCGAUGGGAAACAGGUUAAUAUUCCUGUACUUGGUGUUACUGCGAAGGGGGGACGGAGAAGGCUAUGUUGGCCGGGCGACGGUUGUCCCGGUUUAAGCGUGUAGGCUGGUUUUCCAGGCAAAUCCGGAAAAUCAAGGCUGAGGCGUGAUGACGAGGCACUACGGUGCUGAAGCAACAAAUGCCCUGCUUCCAGGAAAAGCCUCUAAGCAUCAGGUAACAUCAAAUCGUACCCCAAACCGACACAGGUGGUCAGGUAGAGAAUACCAAGGCGCUUGAGAGAACUCGGGUGAAGGAACUAGGCAAAAUGGUGCCGUAACUUCGGGAGAAGGCACGCUGAUAUGUAGGUGAAGUCCCUCGCGGAUGGAGCUGAAAUCAGUCGAAGAUACCAGCUGGCUGCAACUGUUUAUUAAAAACACAGCACUGUGCAAACACGAAAGUGGACGUAUACGGUGUGACGCCUGCCCGGUGCCGGA